AGUGAACGCUGGCGGCAGGCCUAACACAUGCAAGUCGAGCGGCAGCGCGUCCGACCACCCUCGGGUGGUCGGAUGGCGGCGAGCGGCGGACGGGUGAGGAAUGCAUCGGAAUCUGCCUCGUUGUGGGGGAUAACGUAGGGAAACUUACGCUAAUACCGCAUACGACCUACGGGUGAAAGUGGGGGACCUUCGGGCCUCACGCGAUGAGAUGAGCCGAUGCCGGAUUAGCUAGUUGGCGGGGUAAAGGCCCACCAAGGCGACGAUCCGUAGCUGGUCUGAGAGGAUGAUCAGCCACACUGGAACUGAGACACGGUCCAGACUCCUACGGGAGGCAGCAGUGGGGAAUACUUGGACAAUGGGGGCAACCCUGAUCCAGCCAUGCCGCGUGUGUGAAGAAGGCCUCGGUUGUAAG
RNAcentral lists this ribosomal RNA (412 nucleotides) under uncultured bacterium. RNAcentral's name for it is "bacterial SSU rRNA". It matches the Rfam family "Bacterial small subunit ribosomal RNA", at positions 30 to 429 of the family's 1533-position model. The record is from RNAcentral.